UUAUUGGAGAGUUUGAUCCUGGCUCAGGACGAACGCUGGCGGCGUGCCUAAUACAUGCAAGUCGAGCGGAGUCGAUGAGAAGCUUGCUUCUUUGAGACUUAGCGGCGGACGGGUGAGUAACACGUAGGCAACCUGCCCAUAAGACUGGGAUAACUACCGGAAACGGUAGCUAAUACCGGAUAGGUUCUUCCCUCGCAUGAGAGAAGAAAGAAAGACGGAGCAAUCUGUCACUUAUGGAUGGGCCUGCGGCGCAUUAGCUAGUUGGUGGGGUAAAGGCCUACCAAGGCGACGAUGCGUAGCCGACCUGAGAGGGUGAUCGGCCACACUGGGACUGAGACACGGCCCAGAC
Molecule: ribosomal RNA, 349 nt
Filed under: Enterococcus aquimarinus
Lineage: Bacteria; Bacillati; Bacillota; Bacilli; Lactobacillales; Enterococcaceae
Description: bacterial SSU rRNA
Rfam family: Bacterial small subunit ribosomal RNA
Source: RNAcentral